Molecule: ribosomal RNA, 813 nt
Filed under: uncultured Bacteroidota bacterium
Lineage: Bacteria; Pseudomonadati; Bacteroidota
Description: bacterial SSU rRNA
Rfam family: Bacterial small subunit ribosomal RNA
Source: RNAcentral
GUUUGAUCCUGGCUCAGGAUGAACGCUAGCGGCAGGCUUAAUACAUGCAAGUCGAGGGGCAGCACGGUAGCAAUACUGGUGGCGACCGGCGCACGGGUGCGUAACACGUAUACAAUCUGCCUUUAACAGGGGGAUAGCCCGGAGAAAUCCGGAUUAAUACCCCAUAACACUAAGAGUAGCAUUACUUUUGGUUAAAAGCUCCGGCGGUUAAAGAUGAGUAUGCGUCUGAUUAGCUAGUUGGUGAGGUAACGGCUCACCAAGGCGACGAUCAGUAGGGGAUCUGAGAGGAUUAACCCCCACACGGAUACUGAGACACGGAUCCGACUCCUACGGGAGGCAGCAGUAAGGAAUAUUGGACAAUGCCCGCAAGGGUGAUCCAGCCAUGCCGCGUGCAGGAAGAAGGCCCUAUGGGUCGUAAACUGCUUUUACACCGGAGAAAACCUCCCCUCGUGAGGGGAGCUGAUAGUAUGGUGAGAAUAAGCAUCGGCUAACUUCGUGCCAGCAGCCGCGGUAAGACGAAGGAUGCAAGCGUUAUCCGGAUUCAUUGGGUUUAAAGGGAGCGUAGGUGGACUGAUAAGUCAGUGGUGAAAUCUCCGAGCUUAACUCGGAAAUUGCCAUUGAUACUGUUGGUCUUGAGUAUAGUUGCCGUUGGCGGAAUAUGACAUGUAGUGGUGAAAUACAUAGAGAUGUCAUAGAACACCGAUUGCGAAGGCAGCUGACGAAACUAUAACUGACACUGAGGCUCGAAAGUGUGGGGAUCAAACAGGAUUAGAUACCCUGGUAGUCCACACUGUAAACGAUGAUUACUCGCUG